Molecule: ribosomal RNA, 1051 nt
Filed under: uncultured archaeon
Lineage: Archaea
Description: bacterial SSU rRNA
Rfam family: Archaeal small subunit ribosomal RNA
Source: RNAcentral
UCUGGUUGAUCCUGGCAGAGGUUACUGCUAUCGGUGUUCGCCUAAGCCAUGCGAGUCAUAUGUUCGUAAGAACAUGGCGUACUGCUCAGUAACACGUGGAUAACCUGCCCUUGGGUCCGGCAUAACCCCGGGAAACUGGGGAUAAUUCCGGAUAACGCACAUAUGCUGGAAUGCUUUUUGCGUAAAAUGGAUUCGUCUGCCCAAGGAUGGGUCUGCGGCCUAUCAGGUAGUAGUGGGUGUAAUGUACCUACUAGCCUACGACGGGUACGGGUUGUGAGAGCAAGAGCCCGGAGAUGGAUUCUGAGACAUGAAUCCAGGCCCUACGGGGCGCAGCAGGCGCGAAAACUUUACAAUGCGGGAAACCGUGAUAAGGGGACACCGAGUGCCAGCAUCCUAUGCUGGCUGUCCGGGUGUGUAAAAUACACCUGUUAGCAAGGGCCGGGCAAGACCGGUGCCAGCCGCCGCGGUAACACCGGCGGCCCGAGUGGUGAUCGUGAUUAUUGGGUCUAAAGGGUCCGUAGCCGGUUUGGUCAGUCCUCCGGGAAAUCUGACAGCUCAACUGUUAGACUAUCGGAGGAUACUGCCAGACUUGGAACCGGGAGAGGUAAGAGGUACUACAGGGGUAGGAGUGAAAUCUUGUAAUCCCUGUGGGACCACCUGUGGCGAAGGCGUCUUACCAGAACGGGUUCGACGGUGAGGGACGAAAGCUGGGGGCACGAACCGGAUUAGAUACCCGGGUAGUCCCAGCCGUAAACGAUGCUCGCUAGGUGUCAGGCAUGGCGCGACCGUGUCUGGUGCCGCAGGGAAGCCGUGAAGCGAGCCACCUGGGAAGUACGGCCGCAAGGCUGAAACUUAAAGGAAUUGGCGGGGGAGCACAACAACGGGUGGAGCCUGCGGUUUAAUUGGACUCAACGCCGGACAACUCACCGGGGGCGACAGCAAAAUGUAGGCCAGGCUGAAGACCUUGCUUGAAUCGCUGAGAGGAGGUGCAUGGCCGUCGCCAGUUCGUACUGUGAAGCAUCCUGUUAAGUCAGGCAACGAGCGAGACCCA